Eptesicus fuscus (big brown bat) is the source of this 752-nucleotide long non-coding RNA. RefSeq lists it as uncharacterized. The transcript has 3 exons. The record is from RefSeq and is a predicted model, not a curated record. NCBI's taxonomy places the organism in Eukaryota, Metazoa, Chordata, Mammalia, Chiroptera, Vespertilionidae.
GCUCCACGCUGUGGGUACUUCUUCAAGUCCCAAGACCAUGGAGCGGGGCCUGGAUGACCCUGGUAAAUCAGCCACAGAAUUCUCAGUUCUCAGAACAGAGGAGAAGCCAGGUGGCGUGUUUAACCUGGAUUUGCAGGGCCUGGUGAUGAUCAAGCCUCAGGCAGCCAGGGAGUCACAGAGGCCUGGUUUUCAUCUCAAAUCCCAGCUCUGCCACUUACCAUCUGGGUCACUUGGCAAGUGUCAUCAGCUCUCUGAACCUCGUUUGCCUCGUCUGUUAAAUGCAGCAUUUCCAAUUAAUUCUGAUUGAGAGCCCAAGGCAAGGAGCCAGUGUUGCCGGAGGAAUGCUAAAGAGCAAACUGAUCCAGGGAAACAAAUGCCAGCAAGGGACCCCACAGCAGAGAGGCAGACACUGUGAGCAACUCUCCUGUUGCCAUGAGGCUUGCGAGGCGUGUGCGCGGGUCUCCGCAUUGGCACCAUCUGCCGAUUCCUCGGGAGGACGGAACAAACUAGCGAGGCAUGAAGAUUAGAUUAUGUAACGCGCGGGGACUGCUGUUUCCAAAGAGGAAACAAAUGGAACGAAUUGAUUUGCUUGUCAGAGUCAUGUCACUAAGGCGACUCGUUCCCCCUCUUCCGAGAGGCCCUCGUUAAAGAGAAUGGGCUCACAGAUUCAGAAUAUGGGAGACCACAAUCGACUCCAUUCAUAAGAAAGUGAGUCCAAUUUCCAGAACUGCACUGAUAAAUCCUAUUUUGAU